Molecule: non-coding RNA, 846 nt
Organism: Urocitellus parryii (Arctic ground squirrel)
Lineage: Eukaryota; Metazoa; Chordata; Mammalia; Rodentia; Sciuridae
Source: RefSeq, a predicted model, not a curated record
UCUGCUUCCCUUUUCUCUCCUGCCUCUAGUGCUCCAACAAAGAGGGGUCAGCAACAGCAGCUGAGAAUGUGAGAGGAGUGAACAAACAUGAAAGAAGCAGCUCACCACAUUGUGUUUUGCCAAGUCGGGUGGCCUGCCCACAGUUACGACCUAACUGCGGAAAGUAAAUUGUGAAAUCAACAUAAUACCGGGUAUGGUGACUCACAGUUAUAAUACCAGGACYGAGGCAGGAGGAUCACAAAUUUGAGGGAGCAGAAAGACUUUAGUUUUGGAUCCUUGGGCAYGAUUACAGAAAGACCAGAGAGUUAAAAUGAGCAUAAUCAGUCCAAAAGUCAGGGAAAUGAAGUGACUUACCCAAACUGCAAUUACUGCUGAGUAGCAGACUGAGUACACCUCCUUUUGGAUUCUUCAGCUUYAUUGGAAUAGAACAUAAUUUGGAUAGUUGAGCCGCCAUGAAGUCUCACAAGAAGGAGGAAAGAUGCCAUCUUCUUGAACUUUCCUGCUUCCACAACUGUAAGCCAUCACAAACCUCUUUCUUUUAUAAAGUAUCCAGCCUCAGGUAUUUUGUUAUAGCAACAGAAAAUAGACUAUAACAGUGAGCCUGCAAGCAGCCAUUUCAUCUAUUUCUAGGUUGGGGCAGUUCAGGAUGAAUGCAUUCAUAUUCAAGUGGCAACAGAAUUAUAAAUAUUUGAGGAUUUAUCUAGUUUAGUUGCUCAAUAGCUGAUUUUCAGAAAGACUUUGCCUUGAACUCCACCAAUGAUGACAUCCUAUGGGACUUCAAUAUCAAUACAUGAAAAGACCUGCUACAAGGGUCCUCUCUGUUGUACUCCCAGAACUUGCCUAAAA